Molecule: ribosomal RNA, 301 nt
Filed under: uncultured bacterium
Lineage: Bacteria
Description: partial 16S ribosomal RNA
Rfam family: Bacterial small subunit ribosomal RNA
Source: RNAcentral
CAGUCGCCGCGGUAAAACGUAGGGUGCAAGCGUUAUCCGGAAUUAUUGGGCGUAAAGAGCUCGUAGGCGGUUUGUCGCGUCUGCUGUGAAAACUGGAGGCUCAACCUCCAGCCUGCAGUGGGUACGGGCAAACUAGAGUGCGGUAGGGGAGAUUGGAAUUCCUGGUGUAGCGGUGGAAUGCGCAGAUGUCAGGAGGAACACCGAUGGCGAAGGCAGAUCUCUGGGCCGUAACUGACGCUGAGGAGCGAAAGCAUGGGGAGCGAACAGGAUUAGAUACCCGCGUAGUCCCUGUCUCUUAUAC